UACGUAGGGUGCAAGCGUUAAUCGGAAUUACUGGGCGUAAAGCGUGCGUAGACGGUUAUUUAAGUCGGGUGUGAAAGCCCCGGGCUCAACCUGGGAAUUGCAUUCGAGACUGAAUAGCUAGGGUACGGUAGAGGGAAGCGGAAUUUCCGGUGUAGCGGUGAAAUGCGUAGAUAUCGGAAGGAACAUCAGUGGCGAAAGCGGCUUCCUGGACCAGUACCGACGUUCAGGCACGAAAGCGUGGGGAGCAAACAGG
Molecule: ribosomal RNA, 253 nt
Filed under: uncultured bacterium
Lineage: Bacteria
Description: partial 16S ribosomal RNA
Rfam family: Bacterial small subunit ribosomal RNA
Source: RNAcentral